UCACGCUAAUCCCGGGACGAG
Molecule: unclassified non-coding RNA, 21 nt
Filed under: Mus musculus (house mouse)
Lineage: Eukaryota; Metazoa; Chordata; Mammalia; Rodentia; Muridae
Description: oocyte_clustered_small_RNA2401
Source: RNAcentral